RNAcentral lists this transfer RNA (55 nucleotides) under Caenorhabditis elegans. It matches the Rfam family "tRNA", at positions 10 to 63 of the family's 71-position model. From Rfam's summary of the family: Transfer RNA (tRNA) molecules are approximately 80 nucleotides in length. Their secondary structure includes four short double-helical elements and three loops (D, anti-codon, and T loops). The record is from Rfam by way of RNAcentral. Lineage: Eukaryota; Metazoa; Nematoda; Chromadorea; Rhabditida; Rhabditidae.
GUGCAGUGGCAGAGCGUCUGUCUCGUAAACAGAAGGUCGGCGGUUCAAUCCCGCC